Molecule: transfer RNA, 73 nt
Filed under: Danionella translucida
Lineage: Eukaryota; Metazoa; Chordata; Actinopteri; Cypriniformes; Danionidae
Also listed under: 1 other name
Rfam family: tRNA
About the family: Transfer RNA (tRNA) molecules are approximately 80 nucleotides in length. Their secondary structure includes four short double-helical elements and three loops (D, anti-codon, and T loops).
Source: Rfam by way of RNAcentral
GUUUCUGUAGUGUAGUGGUCAUCACGUUUGCCUAACAUGCAAUAGGUCCCCAGUUCGAAACUGGGUGGAAACA